UACGUAGGGUGCGAGCGUUAAUCGGAAUUACUGGGCGUAAAGCGUGCGCAGGCGGUUCGUUAUGUCCGUUGUGAAAGCCCCGGGCUCAACCUGGGAAUGGCAAUGGAAACUGGCGGGCUAGAGUGUGGCAGAGGGAGGUGGAAUUCCACGUGUAGCAGUGAAAUGCGUAGAGAUGUGGAGGAACACCGAUGGCGAAGGCAGCCUCCUGGGCCAGCACUGACGCUCAUGCACGAAAGCGUGGGGAGCAAACAGG
This 253-nucleotide ribosomal RNA is filed under the name uncultured bacterium. RNAcentral's name for it is "partial 16S ribosomal RNA". It matches the Rfam family "Bacterial small subunit ribosomal RNA", at positions 524 to 776 of the family's 1533-position model. The record is from RNAcentral.